CAUCCUGGGGCUGUAGUCGGUCCCAAGGGUUGGGCUGUUCGCCCAUUAAAGCGGUACGCGAGCUGGGUUCAGAACGUCGUGAGACAGUUCGGUCCCUAUCCGUCGUGGGCGUAGGAAAUUUGAGAGGAGCUGUCCUUAGUACGAGAGGACCGGGAUGGACAUACCUCUGGUGUACCAGUUGUCGUGCCAACGGCAUAGCUGGGUAGCUAUGUAUGGACGGGAUAAGUGCUGAAAGCAUCUAAGCAUGAAGCCCCCCUCAAGAUGAGAUUUCCCAACUUCGGUUAUAAGAUCCCUCGAAGAUGACGAGGUUAAUAGGUUCGAGGUGGAAGCGUGGUGACACGUGGAGCUGACGAAUACUAAUCGAUCGAAGACUUAAUCAAUAUU
Molecule: ribosomal RNA, 384 nt
Filed under: Escherichia coli
Lineage: Bacteria; Pseudomonadati; Pseudomonadota; Gammaproteobacteria; Enterobacterales; Enterobacteriaceae
Also listed under: 1 other name
Description: partial 23S ribosomal RNA
Rfam family: Bacterial large subunit ribosomal RNA
Source: RNAcentral